CGGGGUGUCGUAUACCGGUAGUACGCUUGCUUUGGGAGCAAGAUGACGGAGUUCGAUUCUCCGCACCCCGACCA
This 74-nucleotide transfer RNA is filed under the name Candidatus Kaiserbacteria bacterium CG10_big_fil_rev_8_21_14_0_10_56_12. RNAcentral's name for it is "tRNA-Pro". It matches the Rfam family "tRNA". From Rfam's summary of the family: Transfer RNA (tRNA) molecules are approximately 80 nucleotides in length. The record is from RNAcentral. Lineage: Bacteria; Candidatus Kaiseribacteriota.